UACGAAGGGGGCUAGCGUUGCUCGGAAUCACUGGGCGUAAAGCGCACGUAGGCGGCUUUUUAAGUCAGGGGUGAAAUCCUGGAGCUCAACUCCAGAACUGCCUUUGAUACUGAGAAGCUUGAGUCCGGGAGAGGUGAGUGGAACUGCGAGUGUAGAGGUGAAAUUCGUAGAUAUUCGCAAGAACACCAGUGGCGAAGGCGGCUCACUGGCCCG
This 213-nucleotide ribosomal RNA is filed under the name uncultured bacterium. RNAcentral describes it as "partial 16S ribosomal RNA". It matches the Rfam family "Bacterial small subunit ribosomal RNA", at positions 524 to 736 of the family's 1533-position model. The record is from RNAcentral.